Molecule: ribosomal RNA, 136 nt
Filed under: uncultured freshwater bacterium
Lineage: Bacteria
Description: partial 16S ribosomal RNA
Rfam family: Bacterial small subunit ribosomal RNA
Source: RNAcentral
CCUACGGGAGGCAGCAGUGGGGAAUAUUGGACAAUGGGCGCAAGCCUGAUCCAGCCAUGCCGCGUGAGUGAUGAAGGCCUUCGGGUUGUAAAGCUCUUUUGUCCGGAAGAUAAUGACUGUACCGCAGAUAGCAGAU